This 55-nucleotide transfer RNA is filed under the name Mansonella ozzardi. Its description in RNAcentral is "tRNA-Leu". The record is from RNAcentral. Lineage: Eukaryota; Metazoa; Nematoda; Chromadorea; Rhabditida; Onchocercidae.
UGGCUUUUUAGUAUAAUAAGUAUAACUAUUUUAAGCGUAGUUGGUUUUAAGCUAU